AUUGAACGCUGGCGGCAGGCCUAACACAUGCAAGUCGAGCGGAUGAAGGGGGCUUGCUCCUGGAUUCAGCGGCGGACGGGUGAGUAAUGCCUAGGAAUCUGCCUGGUAGUGGGGGAUAACGUCCGGAAACGGGCGCUAAUACCGCAUACGUCCUGAGGGAGAAAGUGGGGGAUCUUCGGACCUCACGCUAUCAGAUGAGCCUAGGUCGGAUUAGCUAGUUGGUGGGGCAAAGGCCUACCAAGGCGACGAUCCGUAACUGGUCUGAGAGGAUGAUCAGUCACACUGGAACUGAGACACGGUCCAGACUCCUACGGGAGGCAGCAGUGGGGAAUAUUGGACAAUGGGCGAAAGCCUGAUCCAGCCAUGCCGCGUGUGUGAAGAAGGUCUUCGGAUUGUAAAGCACUUUAAGUUGGGAGGAAGGGCAGUAAGUUAAUACCUUGCUGUUUUGACGUUACCAACAGAAUAAGCACCGGCUAACUUCGUG
Molecule: ribosomal RNA, 484 nt
Filed under: uncultured bacterium
Lineage: Bacteria
Description: partial 16S ribosomal RNA
Rfam family: Bacterial small subunit ribosomal RNA
Source: RNAcentral